This is a long non-coding RNA of Vombatus ursinus (common wombat), 476 nucleotides long. RefSeq lists it as uncharacterized. The transcript has 4 exons. The record is from RefSeq and is a predicted model, not a curated record. Lineage: Eukaryota; Metazoa; Chordata; Mammalia; Diprotodontia; Vombatidae.
UCUCAAAGUCAAGUCAUCAGGGCUCUUAAAAGCUUCUGCCUAAUUUUUUUUUUGUUUGUUUUUAAAAAAUCAUUUAAAAUAUAUGGACUCAUUAAAUCUCCGGAGCUGAAAGAAACUGAGAAAUCCAGUUCACCAUCUUCAGUUUACAGGUUAAGGGACUUACCCAGGUUACAGUCAGUGACUGACAGACUGUGGGGCAGAUAAUUGUGUUGACUUCUGUGAAGAAUCCUUGCUGAAGACUGAAAUGAUAGCCCUGGUCAAGUCAGCCUCUGAAGAAUAGAGCUGAUAAUGAGAUUGGACUUCAACGUUCUCCUCUAUCUUGUUCAGACCCCAUCCAGCUGGGCAAACGGUUAAGUGACUUGCCCAGGGUCACACAAUUACACCCAGCACAAUGCUUCACGCAGAAAUGAUAAGCAGGAUGAUUUUAGAAAAACCUGGAAGAUUUACAUGAACUGAUGCGGAAUAAAGUGAGCAGA